AACGCGAAGAACCUUACCUGGACUUGACAUGCAGUUGACGACUACAGAGAUGUAGUUUUCUCGCAAGAGACAAUUGCACAGGUGCUGCAUGGCUGUCGUCAGCUCGUGCCGUGAGGUGUUGGGUUAAGUCCCGCAACGAGCGCAACCCUUGUCGUUAGUUGCCAACACGUAAUGGUGGGCACUCUAGCGAGACUGCCUAGGUUAACUAGGAGGAAGGUGAGGAUGACGUCAAGUCCGCAUGGCCUUUAUGUCCAGGGCUACACACGUGCUACAAUGGUCGGUACAGAAGGCAGCGAAACCGUGAGGUGGAGCAAAUCCUCAAAGCCGGCCCCAGUUCAGAUUGGAGUCUGCAACUCGACUCCAUGAAGAUGGAAUUGCUAGUAAUGGCGGGUCAGCAACACCGCCGUGAAUACGUUCCCGGGCCUUGUACACACCGUAGUAC
Molecule: ribosomal RNA, 442 nt
Filed under: uncultured bacterium
Lineage: Bacteria
Description: bacterial SSU rRNA
Rfam family: Bacterial small subunit ribosomal RNA
Source: RNAcentral